This 120-nucleotide ribosomal RNA is filed under the name Akanthomyces lecanii RCEF 1005. The record is from RNAcentral. Lineage: Eukaryota; Fungi; Ascomycota; Sordariomycetes; Hypocreales; Cordycipitaceae.
ACAUACGACCACAGGCAACAGAAAAUACCGCGUCCCGUCUGCUCCGCGUUCGUCAAGCUGUUGACCGGCAGAUUAGUAGUUGGGUCGGUGACGACCAGCGAACACCGGCUGUUGUAUGUC